CAACGCGAAGAACCUUACCUACUCUUGACAUCCAGAGAACUUAGCAGAGACUCGAAAGAGAAUCCGUGCACAGGUGCUGCAUGGCUGUCGUUGUGAAAUGUUGGGUUAAGUCCCGCAACGAGCGCAACCCUUGCUACCAUUGGGGCACUCUAUAGAGACUGCCAGGAGGAAGGUGGGGAUGACGUCAAGUCAUCAUGGCCCUUACAGCGGACCUCAUAAAGUGCGUCGUAGUCCGGAUUGGAGUCCUCCAUGAAGUCGGAAUCGCUAGUAAUCGUAGAUCAGAAUAUACGUUCCCGGGUCUUGUACACACCG
Molecule: ribosomal RNA, 312 nt
Filed under: uncultured bacterium
Lineage: Bacteria
Description: partial 16S ribosomal RNA
Rfam family: Bacterial small subunit ribosomal RNA
Source: RNAcentral